This is a non-coding RNA of Cinara cedri, 245 nucleotides long. The record is from the annotation of a GenBank genome assembly. Lineage: Eukaryota; Metazoa; Arthropoda; Insecta; Hemiptera; Aphididae.
CUCCUUUUUAGCUUCUUCCACCUGCUCAGAAACCCGUUUUGCAUUAUCAGUAGUACUAUUACUUAAUUCUUCAUUCAUUCUUUUUUUAUUGCGCUCAAUAAUAUCACUUGCACUUUUAUAUACAUCCUUGAAUAGUGCUUCAACCUUACCGUUCAAAUCAUUAUAUUCCUUAGAAGCAUGUUUAUAGUAUUCCAUUACUCUUCUUUGAAACUCUUUAUCAUCACAAGAACCAAUACUUUCUUUAC